UUAGGUCAUGGGGGCUCCACACUCAUGGGUGGAUUAAUGCUGAGUAUAAAAAGGCUUGAGGCCGUGAGAUCAAUCUCUUGCUCCCUCUCUUACCCUCUCGGACUCUCUCAUCUUCUACCAUGGAAUGAUGCAGCAAGAAGGCCCUUGAAUGAUGCCAGCACCUUGAUAUUGGACUUUCCAGCCUCCAGAACCAUGAGCCAAUACAUUUCUGUUCCAUAAAAAUUACCCAGUUCCAGGUAUUCUGCUAUAGCAGCACAAAAUGGACUAAAACAAUGUUGGCACAAGACUCAGUGCUGGGCCUGGCAUGCAACAGGUCCUUGGAGUGGCGUGCUGUGUGGAUAAUGAAUAUUGGGGAAGGCAUCUCUCUCCAGCCCCUCUCAAGCUUUCUGUAGUCACUGGUCCACUCUGUAUUGCUAUGAAGAAGCUCAAGACCAGCCUGUAUCACUCGGGGUCCUGGCAGGAACCAGGUGCCACACUCAAACUGAGUAAUUGAAGAGGGUUUAAUAUGGGAGUUAUUUACAUAGGUGUGGGCUGGUGUAGCUGCCCAUAUGCCCUCAAAAUCACCUCUACAUGGCAAUAGCUACUUACUGCUAACAGAGUCUCUCUCUCAUUGCUGCAAAUAUUUUCUAGCCAUGCAAGAAACUCAGCCGGUCAUGUUGAACAAACUAAGAGUGCCAGGAAGUUAAUGUCCUGGAAGCAUUGCCAGAGGGGAGGGGGCAGUUAGAUUCCCCAGCUUCCUCGCUCCUCUGCUGGGUUAAGCCUGCAACAUAUUCAUCAUCUCCCAGAGUGCUGCCCAGGGAUAGAGCUCCAGGUGCUCAGUGUGGUGACCUGCUCAUGUCAGCUUCUUCCCCUUUCCUGUCUUGUUUCGCACCCACAUCCUUCCCAUGUUUCCUCUUCCCAAAUAAACUACUUGCAUUGAAAUCUUUGUCUCAG
RNAcentral lists this long non-coding RNA (933 nucleotides) under Homo sapiens (human). Its description in RNAcentral is "non-protein coding lnc-ADA-3:19". The record is from RNAcentral. Lineage: Eukaryota; Metazoa; Chordata; Mammalia; Primates; Hominidae.